UCUGGCUCAGGAUGAACGCUAGCUACAGGCCUAACACAUGCAAGUCGAGGGGAAACGGCAGCUUAGCUUGCUAAGCUGGACGUCGACCGGCGCACGGGUGAGUAACGCGUAUCCGACCUGCCCCACGGUGAGGGAUAACCCGCGGAAACGCGGCCUAAUACCUCAUGGUCUCCGAGUUUGCCAUCAACCUUGGAGUAAAGAUUCAUUGCCGUGGGAUGGGGAUGCGUCUGAUUAGCUUGUUGGCGGGGCAACGGCCCACCAAGGCUACGAUCAGUAGGGGUUCUGAGAGGAAAGCCCCCCACAUUGGAACUGAGACACGGUCCAAACUCCUACGGGAGGCAGCAGUGAGGAAUAUUGGUCAAUGGGCGAGAGCCUGAACCAGCCAAGUAGCGUGCAGGAAGACGGCCCUAUGGGUUGUAAACUGCUUUUAUGCGGGGAUAAAGCGGGCGACGUGUCGCCCUUUGCAGGUACCGCAUGAAUAAGGACCGGCUAAUUCCGUGCCAGCAGCCGCGGUAAUACGGAAGGUCCGGGCGUUAUCCGGAUUUAUUGGGUUUAAAGGGAGCGCAGGCCGGGUAUUAAGCGUGUUGUGAAAUGUAGGCGCCCAACGUCUGCACCGCAGCGCGAACUGGUGCCCUUGAGUACGCACGACGUUGGCGGAAUUCGCCGUGUAGCGGUGAAAUGCUUAGAUAUGGCGAAGAACUCCGAUUGCGAAGGCAGCUGACGGGAGCGCUACUGACGCUCAUGCUCGAAAGCGCGGGUAUCGAACAGGAUUAGAUACCCUGGUAGUCCGCGCGGUAAACGAUGGAUGCCCGCUAUUUGCGCAUUAGCGCAAGUGGCCAAGUGAAAACGUUAAGCAUCCCACCUGGGGAGUACGCCGGCAACGGUGCAACUCAA
Molecule: ribosomal RNA, 894 nt
Filed under: uncultured Bacteroidota bacterium
Lineage: Bacteria; Pseudomonadati; Bacteroidota
Description: bacterial SSU rRNA
Rfam family: Bacterial small subunit ribosomal RNA
Source: RNAcentral